GACAGAGGGUGCAAACGUUGUUCGGAAUUACUGGGCGUAAAGCGCGUGUAGGCUGCUCAGAAAGUCGGAUGUGAAAGCCCUGGGCUUAACCUAGGAAGUGCAUUCGAAACUUCUGAGCUUGAGUUCUGGAGAGGAAGGCGGAAUUCUCGGUGUAGAGGUGAAAUUCGUAGAUAUCGUAAGGAAGACCAGUGGCGAAGGCGGGUCUCUGGACAGUUCCUGACGCUGAGGCACGAAGGUCAGGGGAGCAAACGGG
This 253-nucleotide ribosomal RNA is filed under the name uncultured bacterium. RNAcentral's name for it is "partial 16S ribosomal RNA". It matches the Rfam family "Bacterial small subunit ribosomal RNA", at positions 524 to 776 of the family's 1533-position model. The record is from RNAcentral.